AUUGUAUAAACGGGACCUUGAAAAUUAAUUGGGUAAAAUCUAAACAAACGACAACUUCUGGUUCCAUAUUCCCAGAGAAAUAUUCAGGAAAUUGGUAGGGAUCAAAUUUUUACUUAGAUAUGAUUUCAGUAUUCAAUGUUUCCUGUUUAAAUUAUCCCAUUUUCACCAGCAGGUCAUGUUAUAUUGGAAACAGUUGCACCUCCUGGAUUAUUUUCAAUGCUGUAAUUACAAAACUAAAAGAUCGGAGACGCCCACUUUGAAGAUAAAACCUUUCGUAGCAUGUGAAAAUGCGCCGUUAUAUUUUUACUGUUUACUGUUUUACUGCAGGAUCACUAAAAAUCCACCACUAAAUAUUGUUCAUUCACACACACACACACACCACGGCCCUUCCUGCUCUGCAGAAUAAACCAGAUAAACCAGUUAGACGGUGUCAAUAAAAGUAAAACUAGGCAGCUCCAUUUUGUGUCGAGGGGAAAAUAAACCAUUGAACCACUGAACUCUGUGCUGAUACAGGGUUUGAUUUAACACACCGAUGGAGUUAAGUGAACGUGUGUCCUGCUGUAAUCUGGAGAAGGAGACAUGACCUCCAACAUGAGUGUGUCUUGAGAACAGGACUUAAAGAAAGACAAGAGAAUGAUGGAGGGAAAGAGAUCAGACCCACCAGAACCCAGCUUUGUGUCCAUGAAGAGUGAGGAGUCAUUGGGACUUCCACUUGAUUUCAGAGACGGAGCCAGUCCUCGUGAUGUGAGACCACAAAAGAAGAAAUCAAACAUCAGCAGAAAUCAGCUGGACUCCAUAUUCAAGG
Molecule: long non-coding RNA, 805 nt
Organism: Ictalurus furcatus (blue catfish)
Lineage: Eukaryota; Metazoa; Chordata; Actinopteri; Siluriformes; Ictaluridae
Exons: 3
Source: RefSeq, a predicted model, not a curated record